This 253-nucleotide ribosomal RNA is filed under the name uncultured bacterium. RNAcentral's name for it is "partial 16S ribosomal RNA". It matches the Rfam family "Bacterial small subunit ribosomal RNA", at positions 524 to 776 of the family's 1533-position model. The record is from RNAcentral.
UACGUAGGUGGCGAGCGUUGUCCGGAUUUACUGGGCGUAAAGGGAGCGUAGGCGGACUUUUAAGUGAGAUGUGAAAUACUCGGGCUCAACUUGAGUGCUGCAUUUCAAACUGGAAGUCUAGAGUGCAGGAGAGGAGAAUGGAAUUCCUAGUGUAGCGGUGAAAUGCGUAGAGAUUAGGAAGAACGCCAGUGGCGAAGGCGAUCCUCUGGACUGUAACUGACGCUGAGGCUCGAAAGCGUGGGGAGCAAACAGG